Molecule: ribosomal RNA, 560 nt
Filed under: uncultured Chlamydiae bacterium
Lineage: Bacteria; Pseudomonadati; Chlamydiota; Chlamydiia
Description: bacterial SSU rRNA
Rfam family: Bacterial small subunit ribosomal RNA
Source: RNAcentral
GGCUUAUCAAGUCACAUGUGAAAUUCCAGGGCUUAACCCUGGAGCUGCAUGUGAAACUGAUAGACUAGAGGUAAAGCGGAGAAAACGGAAUUUCCCAUGUAGCGGUGAAAUGCGUGGAUAUGGGAAGGAACACCGGUGGCGAAAGCGGUUUUCUAGCUUUAAACUGACGCUGAAGCGCGAAAGCAAGGGGAGCAAACAGGAUUAGAUACCCUGGUAGUCCUUGCCGUAAACGAUGUAUACUUGAUGUGAUUAGGGCUCAACCCCGAUCGUGUCGAAGCUAACGCGAUAAGUAUACCGCCUGAGGAGUACGCUCGCAAGGGUGAAACUCAGAAGAAUUGACGGGGGCCCGCACAAGCAGUGGAGCAUGUGGUUUAAUUCGAUGCAACGCGAAGAACCUUACCCGGUUUUGACAUGCAGAUGACGUUAACAGCGAUGUUAAUUUCCGAAAGGACAUCUGCACAGGUGCUGCAUGGCUGUCGUCAGCUCGUGCCGUGAGGUGUUGGGUUAAGUCCCGCAACGAGCGCAACCCUUAUUGUUAGUUGCCAACAGGUAAUGCUGGG